RNAcentral lists this ribosomal RNA (853 nucleotides) under uncultured archaeon. RNAcentral's name for it is "bacterial SSU rRNA". It matches the Rfam family "Archaeal small subunit ribosomal RNA", at positions 85 to 921 of the family's 1478-position model. The record is from RNAcentral.
ACGGCUCAGUAACACGUGGCUAACCUGCCCUUGGGACAGGGAUAACCCCGGGAAACUGGGGCUAAUACUUGAUAGGUGAGAACUCCUGGAAUGGAUUCUCGCUGAAAGGGCGUCUAGAUCAUGCUUUUAGGCGUCGCCCAAGGAGGGGGCCGCGGCCGAUCAGGUUGUUGGUGAGGUAACGGCCCACCAAGCCUUUAACCGGUACGGGCCGUGAGAGCGGUAGCCCGGAGAUGGGUACUGAGACAAGGGCCCAGGCCCUACGGGGCGCAGCAGUCGCGAAAACUCACCAAUUCACGAAAGUGUGAGUGGGCCAUCCCGAGUGCCGUCCGCUGAGGAUGGCUUUUCCUUAGUGUACAAAGCUGGGGGAAUAAGGAGAGGGCAAGUCUGGUGUCAGCCGCCGCGGUAAUACCAGCUCUCCGAGUGGUGGGGAUGUUUAUUGGGCCUAAAGCAUUCGUAGCCUGCUGGGCAAGUCCUCCGUUAAAUCCAACGAUUCAAUCGUUGGGCCGCGGGGGAUACUGUUCGGCUAGGGGGCGGAAGAGGUCGACGGUAUUCUCGGGGUAGGGGUGAAAUCCUACAAUCCCGGGAGGACCACCAGUGGCGAAGGCUGUCGGCUAGAACGCGCCCGACGGUGAGGGAUGAAAGCUGGGGGAGCGAACCGGAUUAGAUACCCGGGUAGUCCCAGCUGUAAACGAUGCAGGCUAGGUGUUGGCGCGGCUACGUGCCGCUCCAGUGCCGCAGGGAAGCCGUUAAGCCUGCCGCCUGGGAAGUACGGCAGCAAGGCUGAAACUUAAAGGAAUUGGCGGGGGAGCACCACAAGGGGUGAAGCUUGCGGUUUAAUUGGAUUCAACGCCGG